CACAAAAGUAACCCCAAAAAAAAGCCCUCUCCUCCUCCGCUCCCCCUCCUCUGUCAUGUCGCCUCGGCAUCGUCUCGUCUCGGAGCUCCACCACUACGGGGUGACUGCGCAAUGGCGAAGUGGUGUGUGAGAUAUGUGGUAGUGGUAGCAACCCUUGUCUUAUUGUAAAAUGAGCUCAAUGCAAUUGCUAUCAGCACCGUUAUUGCAGGCAGGUGGUGGCAUUUGCAAUCACAUGAAUGGCAUUGUUAUGAAUGCCAAGAAAAGGCUAAUGAGGACCCAAAAUGUAAUC
Molecule: long non-coding RNA, 289 nt
Organism: Phragmites australis (common reed)
Lineage: Eukaryota; Viridiplantae; Streptophyta; Magnoliopsida; Poales; Poaceae
Exons: 3
Source: RefSeq, a predicted model, not a curated record